This 427-nucleotide ribosomal RNA is filed under the name Reticulitermes tibialis. RNAcentral's name for it is "partial 16S ribosomal RNA". It matches the Rfam family "Archaeal large subunit ribosomal RNA", at positions 1889 to 2554 of the family's 2987-position model. Lineage: Eukaryota; Metazoa; Arthropoda; Insecta; Blattodea; Rhinotermitidae. The record is from RNAcentral.
CGCCUGUUUAUCAAAAACAUCUUUUCUCGUUAGUUUUUGAAGUAUGGCCUGCCCACUGACCUUUGAUGUUGAAGGGCCGCGGUAUUUUGACCGUGCAAAGGUAGCAUAGUCAUUAGUUCUUUAAUUGUGAUCUGGUAUGAAUGGCUUGACGAGGCAUGGGCUGUCUUAAUUUUGAAUUGUUUAUUGAAUUUGGUCUUUGGGUUAAAAUUCUUAGAUGUUUUUAUGGGACGAGAAGACCCUAUAGAGUUUAACAUUUAUUAUGGUCCUUUUUCUGUUUGUGAGGGUUCACUGGGCUGUUUAGUAUGUUUUGUUGGGGUGAUGGGAGGGAUUUAUUUAACCCCUCCUUUAGGUUGUUAUAUUUAUUUAUGUUUACUUGAUCCAUUUAUUUUGAUUGUAAGAUUAAAUUACCUUAGGGAUAACAGCGUAA